CGGGUGUAGUUCAAUGGUAGAACAUCAGCUUCCCAAGCUGAAUACGAGGGUUCGAUUCCCUUCACCC
RNAcentral lists this transfer RNA (67 nucleotides) under Nisaea denitrificans. It matches the Rfam family "tRNA". From Rfam's summary of the family: Transfer RNA (tRNA) molecules are approximately 80 nucleotides in length. Their secondary structure includes four short double-helical elements and three loops (D, anti-codon, and T loops). Lineage: Bacteria; Pseudomonadati; Pseudomonadota; Alphaproteobacteria; Rhodospirillales; Thalassobaculaceae. RNAcentral also lists the same sequence under 4 other names. The record is from RNAcentral.